This is a long non-coding RNA of Helianthus annuus (common sunflower), 870 nucleotides long. RefSeq lists it as uncharacterized. The transcript is spliced from 5 exons. Lineage: Eukaryota; Viridiplantae; Streptophyta; Magnoliopsida; Asterales; Asteraceae. The record is from RefSeq and is a predicted model, not a curated record.
CCUGCGGGCCCCGGGCUGCCAGUAAUAUUAUAAGAGUGUGGCAGCCCGAAAAUUAGGAGCAACCUCUUUAUAAGAGUUACUAAAUACCCCAAUACUAAGGAUAAGUUAUUGAGGCCUCAUUUGGGUUCAUUUCUCAGAAUCACUUUCUCUCUCUACUUUAUCUCUCUAGAAAUUCUCUCUCAACUCAUCCAUGGCGAUUUCAAAUCUCUGGCGAUAAUCUUCAUCGGAAUGCCUUCAAAAGAUCAAAACCUAAACCUAGCUCAGUCGAAUUGUCGUCGCUGCUCCGCCGUAGAUCAUCGGAAUACCUUCAGAACUUCGAUUACCGAAAACCUAGCUCCGUCGUAUCGCCGUCGCUGCUCCGCCAUAGAUCAUCGGAAUAGCAUAUGAACUUCGAUUACAGAAAACAGAGCUCCGUCAUUCCUCCGCCGUAGAAGAAGAUCAAUCUAUGUUGGACUUCUGUAGAUUCAUCUGGGACAAGAUCAAGCCAAGAAGAAAACAGCUACUCGUGAUGGUAUUGAAGAUCACAAUCAAUACGGCUUCGCCGGAAGCUCAAGAACACCAAGAACAGUUUGAAGAUGAAGCCCAGAAAUCUGUAGAGAAGAACCUGCAACUGCAGCAAACCAAGAACACGAUGAAGAUCGAACAGAGAUACCUGUUAUUCUUAGAAUAUGAUAGGAAAAUGGAUGAAUUAUCCAUCAAAAACAUGUUUUUGUUGUAAUUUUUAUUGUAAAAUGGAUCAAAAUGUUUACGAUCUUGUGAAGAAUCAUCGCUUAAUCGACGUUAUUGAAGAUUACUUACCUUGAAUUGAAGUUCUGAGAGUUUUCCGAUGAUCUACGGUGGAGCAGCGACGGCGAUUCGACGGAUCUAGGU